This 21-nucleotide unclassified non-coding RNA is filed under the name Chlamydomonas reinhardtii. RNAcentral's name for it is "small RNA Cre_3984". Lineage: Eukaryota; Viridiplantae; Chlorophyta; Chlorophyceae; Chlamydomonadales; Chlamydomonadaceae. The record is from RNAcentral.
UUGGCCGGAGAACUGACAUGU